ACCAAGGAGUCUAACAUGUGUGCGAGUCGACCAGUGUUUUGAAACUGGAAGGCGCAAUGAAAGUGAACGCUUUUUACAAGUGUUGUGAUACGAUCCGUAGUUUCUUUGUAGCAAACUGCGGCGGAGUAUCGUCCCAUCUAUACGGUUCGGCCGUUUGGUGGAGAUUUGAGCAGACAUGUUGGUACCCGAAAGAUGGUGAACUAUGCUUGAGCAGAACGAAGCCAGAGGAAACUCUGGUGGAGGUUCGUAGCGGUUCUGACGUGCAAAUCGAUCGUCAGACUUGAGUAUAGGGGCGAAAGACU
RNAcentral lists this ribosomal RNA (302 nucleotides) under Romanomermis wuchangensis. RNAcentral describes it as "eukaryotic LSU rRNA". It matches the Rfam family "Eukaryotic large subunit ribosomal RNA", at positions 665 to 932 of the family's 3401-position model. The record is from RNAcentral. Lineage: Eukaryota; Metazoa; Nematoda; Enoplea; Mermithida; Mermithidae. RNAcentral also lists the same sequence under 1 other name.